AUAUGACAUAAGUGUUGCAUUAUGUUUUGCAUGUUCUAUGUUCACAUAAUUGUAUGUUAUACACCUAUGCAGCAUUCAGGCGUAUUCAGGCAGCCUAUUUUACAAAGGAAGUUAGCUGCCCCGAUCAAAGACUGGACAAUGUGUUUUUUAAUAAAGGUUUAUUAAUGAUUAAAUAAUAAUAAUUAUAAAUCUGAUUUCUACUGGGCCGAAGGUCAUUUUACACACAGAAGUUAAAAACCAGGACGUAGGUGAGGAGCAGUAUUUCUUCUGCAAGCUGUAGGACUUGACUGGGAGCCAGUGGAGGCACAUGAGGGUGGGGGUGAUGUGGGAGUUCUGAACAUGGCUCAAAUAGGCAGACGAGCUAGGACAGCAUUUCAGUGGUCCAGGCGGGAGCAGGAGGUGAUAAAGGCAUGAAAUGUAAGGAGGUACUGAGUUUAACCAAAUUGCCCCUUAAUAAGAUUGCCCCCUGUUCUGCUGCUGUUUAUGGCUGUAGAACAGAUAAAUAAUCAUGAAAAAAAUGUACGAUGUCAACACAUUAAAAAGUAAUCCUAGCUUCACAGCUUGGGAAUUACUUCAUUCACGAUUGUUUUAUUUAAUACACCAGUAAUCUUAUCCCUGGAAUUAGCGUUAUGACACCGUCAAAUGAGGUUAAGGAAAUACGAGCCUUACACAGCUGUGAAUUAAUUCAACCGAAAUCACCCCGAUAAUCUAAUGACUGUAGCAGCGGUAUCAUUAAAGACCAGUGGAACUAUAAUAUUGGUUAAAAUAGGAAACCAUCCAAAAUAAGUACUGCGUUGCUGUUGCAAUACUGGAAAUAGCUGUGACUCUGUCUCCAUCAGAGUCCACAUUUUCUGUGAUGGCAGGAGGGACAGCACACUGUAAGAUGCAUAUUUUCCAAUACCAAGUAUUUGUUUAUUUAUAAACUAAAAGAUUAUGGUUUAACUUCAGUUGCAGGCAAGAUUCCCUUUGGGUUUACACCAGAAAGGGAAUCCUACCCAAUGUGGGUGACAUGUGGAAAGGGAGCAGCCAAAAAAUACUUACCGUGGAACAGUCUUGAGCCACCACUUAUUUCUUUUUGUUUUGUGCCAAGGAAUCAAACUUUAAUUUUUUUUAAAUGGUCUUGAAGAAUACUUUUGAGCAGGUGUUGUGACUACAUAUAACAGAACACUUAGAAAGAAUCAAUUUUAAGUGGUAUCUUUAGACCACUUGUGAGUAACAUUUUUCCCAUUUCUAUUAAUGAAAAUCUUCAAAGAUAACCCAGUUUAGCAGGACUAAAAAAAGCAUUUUCGCACCAACAAGGUGAUUACCAAAGCACUUUUCGCCAAAUCUCAACAUAUUUCCACAUGGAGGUUAAUUCAUGAAAUCACAAACACCAAAAUGUAUGGACAGAAUUUGAUCCGCCAUGCAGUACCCUCUGAUUGGUAAUGGUUUCAUUUGUCAUCAUGACGAUAAUCCCAAACACAUUGCCAAUACAAUAAAAGCAUGCCUGGAUCGAGGUAUGUCAUUUCUUGUUAGAAUAAGGCACAGUGUGCAUACAUUCAUGGUUUUAAUAUGAUAUUUGAUAUGUUUAUAUUGGAUUAUGGACUUUGCUGCCUACUACAUGGUAGGAAUACAGUAUUUUUCUUCAUAACUAUUUAUAAAAAUGUAAUGUUUUUUUUUUAAACCUAUAUCUCUGAGAUCACACGUGGAGAGAUAUAAAUGAUAUUAUUCCCUUUCUGAAAUUUUUCUUGCUCUACUGUAUGUCUAACUGGUUUCCUACAAGUGAUCUUAUUGCCUUACAUACAAGAAUUAACUUGUCACUUGUCCUUUUUGUCAAUUUUACAGCUUGGCUGUUCAGAUUGAAAGCCUCAAGCGACCAAGCAUUCUGCAUUCUCUCAUGCUGCAUUUCGUCUCUCAGCAUUGCUUUACACUGCCAAACGAGGAAAAAUGCCACGGCAAAAAAAGCUGUUCUAGAGGCUUCACUAAAGCCUCUGACCUACAUCAAGUGCUUAAGAAGAUAGAGGAAAAAGACUCUGCUGGGGUGCGAAUUUCAGGCACUGACAGAAAAAGAGGGAUUCCUGUUCGCCUUUAUAAGCGAUGCCUGAGGCUAGAAAGCGGAGCUGAUAUUAUGGCACGGUUCAGAUGACUGUAGAAUAAGCUGCUAUGUGCAGUAACAAUAAAUGUUAUAAGCUUUAGAUUUCACGCAGGCUUUGCUCUUUCUCCCUGAUGGUGGAAAAUUGCAGCAUUUUAAGAAGUAAGGCCCUCGACUAGCAAAGUAUGGUCUUAUAAAUGUAAUUACAUUCUUAUAAAUGUAAGUUAGCGUUUGCAUGUGGACUUGCAAAUGAUUGGAUUGUGGA
Molecule: long non-coding RNA, 2336 nt
Organism: Astatotilapia calliptera (eastern happy)
Lineage: Eukaryota; Metazoa; Chordata; Actinopteri; Cichliformes; Cichlidae
Source: Ensembl